CAAUGGCCCUGACAGCCCUGGCAACCAGCACUGCCCACCCUGCCAGUGCUGCCUCCUGCCUCCCCCCCCAGACAGCCCCACAUUCCGGGGUCCCCACCGGGGAGAGAACCUCACAGGGAGGAUGUUUCUGCAAAGCUUCAGGUGCCCCAGAGGAUAAGCAGGAAUCUUCAGGGCUCAGCCACAGGUGGCUGAAACACCAGAAGCCCCCGGCAAAGACCACACGAGACCCAAGGGAAUGGAGAAGACCAAAGCAAAGCAGGAGCUCUCCAGCACACAGCCCAGCCCAAAAAACAAGCCCUCUGCAGCACACCAGCAGCAGGACCAGCCUUUGGCCAGUCGCUUCGUUCCGGUUGUUGUCCACACUGGGGGACGUCCCCUCAGCUCCUUCAACUUUGUCUUCUACCGACGGACACUCUCCAACUCGUACUGCCCCUUCUACACCGUGCAGAGGCCCUACUGUGGGUACCAGUUCCGAGAGGACAACACCCAUGGCAAGAUAAAAACGGACCUGGAACCUGCCGACGUUCGCAAAUGGAGACCCUUCCAUAGCAAAAAACUCUAGCUGGGACCAGGGAAGCCCAAACAAUAAAGCCCAAGUAAUAAAGCCCAAGCA
Molecule: long non-coding RNA, 613 nt
Organism: Corapipo altera (White-ruffed manakin)
Lineage: Eukaryota; Metazoa; Chordata; Aves; Passeriformes; Pipridae
Exons: 2
Source: RefSeq, a predicted model, not a curated record